Molecule: non-coding RNA, 71 nt
Organism: Strongylocentrotus purpuratus (purple sea urchin)
Lineage: Eukaryota; Metazoa; Echinodermata; Echinoidea; Camarodonta; Strongylocentrotidae
Source: Rfam
GCGCGAUAGCUCAGUCGAUAGAGCAGUGGUCUCGUAAACCGGUGACCCGGGUUCGAAUCCAAGUCGAUGCG